Molecule: ribosomal RNA, 370 nt
Filed under: uncultured bacterium
Lineage: Bacteria
Description: bacterial SSU rRNA
Rfam family: Bacterial small subunit ribosomal RNA
Source: RNAcentral
GGAGGGUGCAAGCGUUAACCGGAAUUACUGGGCGUAAAGCGCACGCAGGCGGUUGGAUAAGUUAGAUGUGAAAGCCCCGGGCUCAACCUGGGAAUUGCAUUUAAAACUGUCCAGCUAGAGUCUUGUAGAGGGGGGUAGAAUUCCAGGUGUAGCGGUGAAAUGCGUAGAGAUCUGGAGGAAUACCGGUGGCGAAGGCGGCCCCCUGGACAAAGACUGACGCUCAGGUGCGAAAGCGUGGGGAGCAAACAGGAUUAGAUACCCUGGUAGUCCACGCCGUAAACGAUGUCGAUUUGGAGGCUGUGUCCUUGAGACGUGGCUUCCGGAGCUAACGCGUUAAAUCGACCGCCUGGGGAGUACGGCCGCAAGGUUA